CCAAGAUCUCAUGCUCCUCCCCACAGCCCUCUUCUCUGCUCACACAGGAAGCCCAGGAAGCCUCUGCCUCAGAGAUGCUGCCGCUGCUGCUGCCGCUGCCCCUGCUGUGGGCAGGGCCCUCGCUCAGGAUGCAAGAUUCCGGCUGGAGAUGCCAGAGUCCGUGACGGUGCAGGAGGGUCUGUGCAUCUUUGUGCACUGUUCGGUCUUCUACCUCGAGUAUGGCUGGAAAGAUUCUACCCCUGCUUAUGGCCACUGGUUCCGGGAAGGGGUCAGUGUAGACCAGGAGACUCCAGUGGCCACAAACAACUCAACUCAAAAAGUGCAGAAGGAGACCCAGGGCCGAUUCCACCUCCUCGGUGAUCCCUCAAGGAACAACUGCUCCCUGAGCAUCAGAGACGCCAGGAGGAGGGACAACGGUUCAUACUUCUUUUGGGUGGCGAGAGGAAGAACAAAAUUUAGUUACAAAUAUUCCCCGCUCUCUGUGUAUGUGACAGCCCUGACCCACAGGCCCGACAUCCUCAUCCCGGAGUUCCUAAAGUCUGGCCAUCCCAGCAACCUGACCUGCUCUGUGCCCUGGGUCUGUGAGCAGGGAACACCCCCCAUCUUCUCCUGGAUGUCAGCUGCCCCCACCUCCCUGGGCCCCAGGACCCUCCACUCCUCAGUGCUCACGAUCAUCCCACGGCCUCAGGACCACGGCACCAACCUCAUCUGUCAGGUGACGUUCCCCGGAGCUGGUGUGACCACGGAGAGAACCAUCCAGCUCAGUGUCUCCUGGAAAUCAGGAACCGUGGAAGAGGUGGUUGUUUUGGCCGUGGGGGUAGUGGCUGUGAAGAUCCUGCUUCUCUGCCUUUGCCUCAUCAUCCUCAGGUCCUUGUCUCUUCACUCAAUGUCAGUUUCCACAAGAAGAAGGCGGUGAGGGCAGUGGAGGUUGAGGAGAAUGUAUAUGCUGUCAUGGGUUAAUCUCUCAGGCCUCCAGACUGUACUUCCAGAUGUCUCCUCAUCCAGUUCCUCCACAGUCUGAAUGGCCAUGUUUCCUCUUCAUUGCUGGAGAAUGAAGUGCAAAUGCCACUGCCUGGACUGAAGGCCUUUCACGAUCUGUCUUCUGCUGGACUCUGCUCCUGAUCCCCCUUCUCCUUGCAUCACCCGAAGUCUCCCUACACCCACCAGGCCAAGCCCUCUGUGAUUCUGAGACUUUGCAUGUGUAGUUACUUCUCCUGAAAUGGC
This is a long non-coding RNA of Homo sapiens (human), 1224 nucleotides long. Ensembl annotates it as sialic acid binding Ig like lectin 17, pseudogene. Its record names the gene SIGLEC17P. The record is from Ensembl. NCBI's taxonomy places the organism in Eukaryota, Metazoa, Chordata, Mammalia, Primates, Hominidae.